CCUACGGGUGGCAGCAGUGGGGAAUAUUGCACAAUGGGCGAAACCCUGAUGCAGCGACGCCGCGUGAGGGAAGAAGGAUUUCGGUAUGUAAAGCUCUAUCAGCAGGGAAGAAAAGGAUGGUACUAGAUUAAGAAGCCGCGUCUAACUACGUGCAAGCAGCCGCGGUAAUACGGAGGGGGCAAGGGUUAUCCGGAUUUAUUGGGUUUAAAGGGGGCGGAGUCGGUAGCAAAAGUCGGCAGUGAAAUGCCGGGGCUUAACCCCGGAACUGCCUUUGAAACUGGGCGGCUAGAGUGCGGGGGAGGUAGGUGGAAUGCGUGGUGUAGCGGUGAAAUGCGUAGAUAUCACGAAGAACACCGAUGGCGAAGGCAGCUUACUGGGCCGUAACUGACGCUGAGGCACGAAAGCGUGGGGAGCAAACAGGAUUAGAUACCCUAGUAGUC
This 440-nucleotide ribosomal RNA is filed under the name uncultured bacterium. RNAcentral's name for it is "partial 16S ribosomal RNA". It matches the Rfam family "Bacterial small subunit ribosomal RNA", at positions 338 to 795 of the family's 1533-position model. The record is from RNAcentral.